GGGGAUGUAGCUCAGAUGGUAGAGUGCUCGCUUAGCAUGAGAGAGGCAGCGGGAUCGAUUCCCAGCAUCUCCA
Molecule: transfer RNA, 73 nt
Filed under: Selaginella moellendorffii
Lineage: Eukaryota; Viridiplantae; Streptophyta; Lycopodiopsida; Selaginellales; Selaginellaceae
Rfam family: tRNA
About the family: Transfer RNA (tRNA) molecules are approximately 80 nucleotides in length. Their secondary structure includes four short double-helical elements and three loops (D, anti-codon, and T loops).
Source: Rfam by way of RNAcentral